RNA transcript from Eucalyptus grandis, 1585 nucleotides. It is a transcript of the gene named calcium-dependent protein kinase 11, with no coding region annotated. The record is from RefSeq and is a predicted model, not a curated record. Lineage: Eukaryota; Viridiplantae; Streptophyta; Magnoliopsida; Myrtales; Myrtaceae. The transcript is spliced from 4 exons.
UGGAGCUUAGCGUAACAUUCACGCAGAAUGUUUUUCUCUUUUUCUGCAAUUGCAAUAAGCAAUAUAUACACAGAGAGAGAGAGAGAAAGAGAGAGCGCUACGUUCGUUCAGUCGCAGACAACCGCGAGGUCCAUCGCUUCCCAUUUCACCAUCUUCUUGUUCUCGUUCUAGUUCUUUCCAAUGGCGAGGCUCGAAGAUCACUUCUCUCUGGGCGAGAAGCUCGGCGAGGGCCAGUUCGGCACGGCCUAUCUCUGCGCCGACAAGGCCACCCACAAGAUUUACGCCUGCAAGUCGAUCCCUAAGAGAAAGCUCCACAGUCAGGAGGACGUUGAGGAGGUGCGGAGGGAGAUCCAGAUCAUGCACUACCUCUCCGAGCAUCCGAACGUCGUCCAAAUCAAGGGCACGUACGAGGACAGCACGUCCGUGCACAUAGUGAUGGAGCUUUGUGGUGGGGGUGAGCUCUUCGAUAGGAUCAUCAAGAAGGGGCGUUUCAGUGAACGCGAGGCCGCGAAGCACAUCAAGAUGAUCGUGCGUGCUGUGGAGGCGUGCCACUCUGCUGGGGUCAUGCACAGAGACCUGAAGCCGGAGAAUUUCCUGUUCGUUAAUCCGGACGACGAUGCCGAGCUCAAGGUCAUCGAUUUUGGGUUGUCCGUCUUCUUUAAGCCAGGACAAGUUUUUUCUGAUGUUGUUGGAAGUCCGUAUUAUGUUGCGCCAGAGGUUCUGCUGAAGCAUUAUGGACCUGAAGUAGAUGUAUGGAGUGCUGGUGUAAUCCUAUACAUUCUACUGAGUGGAUUUCCGCCCUUUUCGGCAGGAACUGAAUCUGAGAUCCUCAGAGAGGUAUUGCAAGGAGAAUUAGAUGUAGAGUCUGACCCUUGGACUAGCAUCUCAGACAGUGCGAAGGAUCUGGUAAAGAAGAUGCUUGACAGAGACCCUAGGAAACGAUUCUCUGCUAAGCAAGUUCUGUGUAAGUUGUCGCAUCUGCAUGGGGCCAUAAACUUGUUCCGCUUUGCCCCUUUUCCUUUUGCAAGCCUUCUAGCAUUUGGUUUGGGUUGCUAAAUCCAUGAUCAAUUCCUUUCGGGUUAUGGGAUCUCUCUCUCUCUGACCUUUGUUUUGUUUUAAUCGAUGUCCUUUUUGGUUGCAACUCUUGCUCCGUGCGGUAAUAACAACAUUGAGUUUUAUGUCAGGUCACCCGUGGAUUGUUGAUAACGGAGUUAUCCCCGACAUACCUCUCAUUCCUAGUCACCCGUGAAUUGUUGAGGACGGAGUUACCCUCGAGAUACCUCUCGCUCCUCGUAAAUCAAGUCCCAUAAUUGGGACUCUCUCUCUCUCUCUCUCUCUCUCUAAUCAAUGUCCUCUUUGGUUACAACUCCUUUUUCAUGUGGUAGUAACAACGUUUUGUUUUAUGUCAGGUCACACGUGAAUCAUCGAUGAUGGAAUUGCCCCAAACAUACCUCUUGUCUGAAGCAGGUCUUAUCUAUUAUAUGAAAAUUGGAUGUACAUUGAACAAUGUUUCUGUAACUUUCUGGUAAGUUGUAACAUUCAUACAUUAAGUUUAAGUUGCAAACUGUGCAGAUUUGGUAGUCUA